AUUGAACGCUGGCGGCAGGCCUAACACAUGCAAGUCGAGCGGAUGAAGGGAGCUUGCUCCUGGAUUCAGCGGCGGACGGGUGAGUAAUGCCUAGGAAUCUGCCUGGUAGUGGGGGAUAACGUCCGGAAACGGGCGCUAAUACCGCAUACGUCCUGAGGGAGAAAGUGGGGGAUCUUCGGACCUCACGCUAUCAGAUGAGCCUAGGUCGGAUUAGCUAGUUGGUGGGGUAAAGGCCUACCAAGGCGACGAUCCGUAACUGGUCUGAGAGGAUGAUCAGUCACACUGGAACUGAGACACGGUCCAGGCUCCUACGGGAGGCAGCAGUGGGGAAUAUUGGACAAUGGGCGAAAGCCUAAUCCAGCCAUGCCGCGUGUGUGAAGAAGGUCUUCGGAUUGUAAAGCACUUUAAGUUGGGAGGAAGGGCAGUAAGUUAAUACCUUGCUGUUUUGACGUUACCAACAGAAUAAGCACCGGCUAACUUCGUG
RNAcentral lists this ribosomal RNA (484 nucleotides) under uncultured bacterium. RNAcentral describes it as "partial 16S ribosomal RNA". It matches the Rfam family "Bacterial small subunit ribosomal RNA", at positions 30 to 507 of the family's 1533-position model. The record is from RNAcentral.